ACACGAACUGUGCAAACGUUAUUCGGAAUCACUGGGCUUAAAGGGUGCGUAGGCGGUCAUGUUGGUCAGAUGUGAAAUCCCACGGCUCAACCGUGGAAUUGCGUUUGAAACCACAUGACUUGAGUAAGAUAGAGGUAAGCGGAACUGAUGGUGGAGCGGUGAAAUGCGUUGAUAUCAUCAGGAACACCGGUGGCGAAAGCGGCUUACUGGGUCUUUACUGACGCUGAGGUACGAAAGCUAGGGGAGCGAACGGGAUUAGAAACCCCAGUAGUCC
Molecule: ribosomal RNA, 274 nt
Filed under: uncultured bacterium
Lineage: Bacteria
Description: partial 16S ribosomal RNA
Rfam family: Bacterial small subunit ribosomal RNA
Source: RNAcentral